UACGGGGGGGGCAAGCGUUGUUCGGAAUUACUGGGCGUAAAGGGCUCGUAGGUGGCCAACUAAGUCGAACGUGAAAUCCCUGGGCUCAACCCAGGAACUGCGUCCGAUACUGGUUGGCUUGAAUCCGGGAGAGGGAUGUGGAAUUCCAGGUGUAGCGGUGAAAUGCGUAGAUAUCUGGAGGAACACCGGUGGCGAAGGCGACAUCCUGGACCGGUAUUGACGCUGAGGCGCGAAAGCUAGGGGAGCAAACGGG
This 253-nucleotide ribosomal RNA is filed under the name uncultured bacterium. Its description in RNAcentral is "partial 16S ribosomal RNA". It matches the Rfam family "Bacterial small subunit ribosomal RNA", at positions 524 to 776 of the family's 1533-position model. The record is from RNAcentral.